UAAAAAUUUACUAAUGUUGAUUUUUGCUUACAGUAUAAAUGGUGCUUGAUCUGUGCAUUUUUCUCUUCUGAUUCGGAUGAGAAACAUUAUGCUUGAUCUGUGCAUAUUUCUCUUCCGAUUCAGAUGAGCAACAUUAUGAAUAGCCAUAAGCAACACUUUGAAGUUAAAAAUGUUUUAAUGAUGGAUUUGUUUAGCACAAAUACACAGCUGUUCAUUUCACAAGAUGUCAGUUGAAGGACUGGAGUCAUGUGGAUCAGCUGUUUGAACUCUCAUUCUGACGGCACCCAUUCACUGCAGAGGAUCCAUUAGUGAGCAAGUGAUCUCAUCUACUGCUUUGGAUCGCCUGAAGGGUGAGUGGGAGGUGUGCUGAUGUUGACCCAGAAGUGAAGUGAUGCGUGGAGGACAGACAGCAGUGUCAGCAGGAGAGAACAGGUUUCUUAACAGAUUAGUAAGUUGGAGACCCAUGCCAGUGGAUGGUGGUACUGGUGAUGGUGGACCGCCUGGUCUGAGACUGAAGAAUGAAGCGAAUGAAGCAGACCUAUCCCGUCUGUCUCCUAAUAAACAGGCACCAGAUCCUGGGCCCCGGCCAGAGGGGAGCCCUGCCACCCAAACCGCCAUCUCUCCCUCGCCUCUAGAGCCUAGCAGGGAGGCGAACGGCCACACGCCGUCUGACAGAAAGACAGAGAGAGCAAAGCCAGCGGGCCAUAUGUGUCUGGUUGUGAGAGGAACUCAAACCACAGACUGUCCAACUCAGAAAUGCUGCAUCUGCCCAGCUCUUCCUCAUGGCAGAAUUAAUGGAGCGCUCAGCAUGGAGCGGGGUGAAAAAGUCACAACUAAAGA
Long non-coding RNA from Cyprinus carpio (common carp), 840 nucleotides. RefSeq lists it as uncharacterized. The record is from RefSeq and is a predicted model, not a curated record. The transcript is spliced from 3 exons. NCBI's taxonomy places the organism in Eukaryota, Metazoa, Chordata, Actinopteri, Cypriniformes, Cyprinidae.